Molecule: long non-coding RNA, 1127 nt
Filed under: Canis lupus familiaris (dog)
Lineage: Eukaryota; Metazoa; Chordata; Mammalia; Carnivora; Canidae
Description: lncRNA (ENSCAFG00845022406.1)
Source: RNAcentral
UAGAAAUGCGUCUUCUAAUUGCUUCUACAAAUUGUUUAAUGUGACACUAGGCACAGUGGAGGUGCUCAAUAAAUCAUAGCAUCAGAGCAAUUGGAAACUUCAAAAAUCCACAAGGCUCAGUAGCCCAAUUCCUUUGUUUGAAAAGGGAGGCCACCCAGAGUGAGAGACGUGAAGGGGCUAAUGGAAGAGCACACGAGUGAACUAGUUGGUGCAUAUCUGGACAAGAGUUUAGGUCUCCUGAUCCUCAGUCCUGAUGUCUUUAUAUGUCAUUAUAUCAGCCAUAUUUCAGGGGGAAAAAAUCCAGAUUUUUAAAUUUAUUUGAAUAAUCAUUUGCAUGAUGUGGGCGAAGGAAAACAUUCUUAUAUCCUAGGUACUUGCUAACCUGAUAAAGACAGUGCGCUCUAGGUGACCUCGGGGCUCCUUCCACUUGGUCUGGGGUCUAGGUGGUUUAAUCUGUCAAUCCCUCUCACCUCGGCCUGUCCCCCCUUGGAGCUGCCUCACUGCACAUCCCUCCUGCCCUUCCCCAGAGCAUCCGGCCACAUGUUUUGGUCCACAGCUGUCCUCUGCCAGCUGUCUACACAAUUUGCUUAACGUUGUGCUUCAGAGAAUCCCUUAUAUUUGCAAAUCAAAGUAUUCAGUAAAAACUGCAGCAAAGUCGUAGAAGAGCUGAUACCCCCCAGCCUUGAACAGAGCCCUGCGGUCCUGCCUCAUGUUAGCUGUGAAAGAGAGGAUGUAUGCAUGGUUAAGUGUGUGACACCAGGCAGACCUGCAUUCGUGUCUCAGUUCAGCCCAGUUCCAGUUGUGUGACUGUGGCAGCCCUCAGUUUCCUCAUCUGUAAAAUGAGGAUAAUAAAAAUAAGAGCUACUUCUCUGAGGUUUAAAUAUGAUAGUGCACACGGAGUACAUUGUUGGACAAGGGAAACCCCCUCUACCAAUGGCAUAUUCCAUGAAUGGUGACCUGAUGUCCCAGAGCACACAGCAGGUAAGACAUAGUAAGGCCUCCAGGAACGCUCCAUUAGUCAGUCUUCUUACAACAGGCAGCAAUUGGUAUAGAUAAGGAAGAGCCAACUUUUAACCUCUAUCAACACCCUUGUUGGGAAUGGCUCUUGCCUCAACUGGCUUAAGGUG